Molecule: ribosomal RNA, 1372 nt
Filed under: uncultured bacterium
Lineage: Bacteria
Description: bacterial SSU rRNA
Rfam family: Bacterial small subunit ribosomal RNA
Source: RNAcentral
GAUGAACGCUGGCGGCGUGCCUAAUACAUGCAAGUCGAGCGAACGGACGAGAAGCUUGCUUCUCUGAUGUUAGCGGCGGACGGGUGAGUAACACGUGGAUAACCUACCUAUAAGACUGGGAUAACUUCGGGAAACCGGAGCUAAUACCGGAUAAUAUUUUGAACCGCAUGGUUCAAAAGUGAAAGACGGUCUUGCUGUCACUUAUAGAUGGAUCCGCGCUGCAUUAGCUAGUUGGUAAGGUAACGGCUUACCAAGGCAACGAUGCAUAGCCGACCUGAGAGGGUGAUCGGCCACACUGGAACUGAGACACGGUCCAGACUCCUACGGGAGGCAGCAGUAGGGAAUCUUCCGCAAUGGGCGAAAGCCUGACGGAGCAACGCCGCGUGAGUGAUGAAGGUCUUCGGAUCGUAAAACUCUGUUAUUAGGGAAGAACAUAUGUGUAAGUAACUGUGCACAUCUUGACGGUACCUAAUCAGAAAGCCACGGCUAACUACGUGCCAGCAGCCGCGGUAAUACGUAGGUGGCAAGCGUUAUCCGGAAUUAUUGGGCGUAAAGCGCGCGUAGGCGGUUUUUUAAGUCUGAUGUGAAAGCCCACGGCUCAACCGUGGAGGGUCAUUGGAAACUGGAAAACUUGAGUGCAGAAGAGGAAAGUGGAAUUCCAUGUGUAGCGGUGAAAUGCGCAGAGAUAUGGAGGAACACCAGUGGCGAAGGCGACUUUCUGGUCUGUAACUGACGCUGAUGUGCGAAAGCGUGGGGAUCAAACAGGAUUAGAUACCCUGGUAGUCCACGCCGUAAACGAUGAGUGCUAAGUGUUAGGGGGUUUCCGCCCCUUAGUGCUGCAGCUAACGCAUUAAGCACUCCGCCUGGGGAGUACGACCGCAAGGUUGAAACUCAAAGGAAUUGACGGGGACCCGCACAAGCGGUGGAGCAUGUGGUUUAAUUCGAAGCAACGCGAAGAACCUUACCAAAUCUUGACAUCCUUUGACAACUCUAGAGAUAGAGCCUUCCCCUUCGGGGGACAAAGUGACAGGUGGUGCAUGGUUGUCGUCAGCUCGUGUCGUGAGACGUUGGGUUAAGUCCCGCAACGAGCGCAACCCUUAAGCUUAGUUGCCAUCAUUAAGUUGGGCACUCUAAGUUGACUGCCGGUGACAAACCGGAGGAAGGUGGGGAUGACGUCAAAUCAUCAUGCCCCUUAUGAUUUGGGCUACACACGUGCUACAAUGGACAAUACAAAGGGCAGCGAAACCGCGAGGUCGAGCAAAUCCCAUAAAGUUGUUCUCAGUUCGGAUUGUAGUCUGCAACUCGACUACAUGAAGCUGGAAUCGCUAGUAAUCGUAGAUCAGCAUGCUACGGUGAAUACGUUCCCGGGUCU